Molecule: long non-coding RNA, 1012 nt
Filed under: Equus caballus (horse)
Lineage: Eukaryota; Metazoa; Chordata; Mammalia; Perissodactyla; Equidae
Description: lncRNA (ENSECAG00000041961.2)
Source: RNAcentral
AUUUGUUCCUGAAAAAUUAAAUUCAUUGCAACAUUUGUGAAAGGUAUUAGAGCUGCACAGUGUAUGCAAUUGCCAAACAAUCAAAGUCCUUUGGUCCAUAGUGCAAACUUUCCUGAGAAAUGGAAUGAGUACAUUCAAGACUAGACUAUCUGAAACCAUGAAGGGUCACAAUACAGGAGAUGCAUUUCACUGUAUUAUAACAUUAUUACUUUGAGAUGUACAGAGGUUAUAGUAACAUACCGAAGAUUUUACAAACUCUUGGAUAUGGGGUCCACAUACCUUCUGAAAUGUGUCUGAACAUUCUCCAGGUGCAGCUUUCCAUGAGCAGCAAACGGGUCUGUAGCCACAACGACAGCCCACCUAUCAUGAACUGAUGGCCACAGAGGUGGAAGCUUAGAAAACAGUUUUCUUUUCCUGGUGGGUGUUUCCAUGAGGUGAUAGAGAAUUCAGCAAGAAUAAAAGCUGUCCCUAAAGCCUGCCUGCUCCUUGGCCUUCAACUGCAUUUCAACCAGCAGCAUUUCAGUAGACAGAAGAGAAAGGUGGAUCUGCACUUGAUGCACAGCAAUAAUACAGAUGUGGUGGUAACCGAGCAGUUCCCUGAGUGCCAGACGAUCAGUCAACAGAGGAGGCUGCUACAGGGCGGGGUUAUUGGGAAGAACACAAGAAGGAGCUCCAGAACUGGUGUGUCGUGUAGCACACGUGUUUGUUCAAGGCUCCCGCACUGCAAGCGAACAGAAUACUUUGAAGGAGAGACGCUACUUCAGUUCUACUGACUGUAAAACAUUAACUCAUGUUUUCAGCCAAGUGGCUGCAGCGAAUCAACUUGUGAUUAUGAGCAUUCAACAUUCUGUGUGCCACUUAUGUACCUUCAGCAUCAAUUUUGCAGCUGGCAAACUAUUGCUAUUUAUGUUUUCAGUGCAUCUGAAAUAAUCUAGAAGUUAUUUUACUUCCAUUACACAUUAAGAAAAGAACCAACUGUAAAAUCAUUACUUUGCCAAUUUACUGUGAAACC